GAUGAACGCUGGCGGCGUGCCUAAUACAUGCAAGUCGAGCGAACGGACGAGAAGCUUGCUUCUCUGAUGUUAGCGGCGGACGGGUGAGUAACACGUGGAUAACCUACCUAUAAGACUGGGAUCACUUCGGGAAACCGGAGCUAAUACCGGAUAAUAUUUUGAACCGCAUGGUUCAAUAGUGAAAGACGGUCUUGCUGUCACUUAUAGAUGGAUUCGCGCUGCAUUAGCUAGUUGGUAAGGUAACGGCUUACCAAGGCAACGAUGCAUAGCCGACCUGAGGGCGGGAUCGGCCACAGUGGAGCUGAGAGGCGGUCCAGGCACCUACGGGAGGCAGCGGUAGGGAAGCGUCCGCAAUGGGCGAAAGCCUGACGGAGGAACGCCGCGUGAGUGAUGAAGGGCUUCGGGUCGUAAAACGCUGUUAUUGGGGAAGAACAUAUGUGUAAGUAACUGUGCACAUCUUGACGGUACCGAUACAGAAAGCCACGCCAACCUACGU
Molecule: ribosomal RNA, 496 nt
Filed under: uncultured bacterium
Lineage: Bacteria
Description: partial 16S ribosomal RNA
Rfam family: Bacterial small subunit ribosomal RNA
Source: RNAcentral